Molecule: non-coding RNA, 225 nt
Organism: Cinara cedri
Lineage: Eukaryota; Metazoa; Arthropoda; Insecta; Hemiptera; Aphididae
Source: the annotation of a GenBank genome assembly
UUUUAAUCCCCUUUUUAUUUAAUCCACGUAUGUCUUUGAGGUUCUGGUGAUAUUGUUGUUUAACUUUGAUGUUUGCUUUUUUAUUUUUAACUUUUCUACAAAAGAGUCUAUUCGAACAUUGUUGGAAGAUUUUUCAACGGUUUUAAUAGAAUGUUAGUGCUCGGUGUGAAGUUAGCAGUAUAAAAUUGAACAUAAAAUAUCUAAGCAGGGUUCCAACAAAUUCCA